This is a long non-coding RNA of Centruroides sculpturatus (bark scorpion), 168 nucleotides long. RefSeq lists it as uncharacterized. The record is from RefSeq and is a predicted model, not a curated record. The transcript is spliced from 2 exons. NCBI's taxonomy places the organism in Eukaryota, Metazoa, Arthropoda, Arachnida, Scorpiones, Buthidae.
UUAUUUAGGCUAAAUGAUGAAGAUAUAGCUACUCAAUGCACAAAAAAUGCUUCUAAAGCUGCUGAAGUGGGUCGCCGAGAUCUUGUGCAGAUGUGGUCAAUAUGUUCUCAUAUUGCUAAUCCAAAAUUGAAAGCAAAUCUUGAUCCUGACAUUGAAUGUCCUUGGGCU